This 85-nucleotide transfer RNA is filed under the name Rhodospirillales bacterium. RNAcentral's name for it is "tRNA-Leu". It matches the Rfam family "tRNA". Rfam says of the family: Transfer RNA (tRNA) molecules are approximately 80 nucleotides in length. Their secondary structure includes four short double-helical elements and three loops (D, anti-codon, and T loops). Further hydrogen bonds mediate the characteristic L-shaped molecular structure. tRNAs have two regions of fundamental functional importance: the anti-codon, which is responsible for specific mRNA codon recognition, and the 3' end, to which the tRNAs corresponding amino acid is attached (by aminoacyl-tRNA synthetases). tRNAs cope with the degeneracy of the genetic code in two manners: having more than one tRNA (with a specific anti-codon) for a particular amino acid; and 'wobble' base-pairing, i.e. permitting non-standard base-pairing at the 3rd anti-codon position. The record is from RNAcentral. Lineage: Bacteria; Pseudomonadati; Pseudomonadota; Alphaproteobacteria; Rhodospirillales. RNAcentral also lists the same sequence under 1 other name.
GCGGGCGUGGCGGAAUUGGCAGACGCGUCAGGUUUAGGUCCUGGUGAGGCAACUCGUGGGGGUUCGAGUCCCUCCGCCCGCACCA